RNAcentral lists this ribosomal RNA (460 nucleotides) under uncultured bacterium. Its description in RNAcentral is "partial 16S ribosomal RNA". It matches the Rfam family "Bacterial small subunit ribosomal RNA", at positions 338 to 795 of the family's 1533-position model. The record is from RNAcentral.
CCUACGGGUGGCUGCAGUGAGGAAUAUUGGUCAAUGGACGAGAGUCUGAACCAGCCAAGUAGCGUGAAGGAUGACUGCCAUAUGGGUUGUAAACUUCUUUUAUAUGGGAAAAAAAUGUUCCACGUGUGGGAUUUUGUAUGUACGAUAUGAAGAAGGAUCGGCUAACUCCGUGCCAGCAGCCGCGGUAAUACGGAGGAUCCGAGCGUUAUCCGGUUUUAUUGGGUUUAAAGGGAGCGUAGGUGGAUUGUUAAGUCAGUUGUGAAAGUUUGCGGCUCAACCGUAAAAUUGCAGUUAAAACUGGCAGUCUUGAGUACAGUAGAGGUUGGCGGAAUUCGUGGUGUAGCGGUGAAAUGCUUAGAUAUCACGAAGAACUCCGAUUGCGAAGGCAGUUCACUGGACUGCAACUGACACUGAGGCUCGAAAGUGUGGGUAUCAAACAGGAUUAGAUACCCGAGUAGUC